AACGCACAUUGCGCCCCCUGGUAUUCCGGGGGGCAUGCCUGUCCGAGCGUCAUUGCUGCCCUCAAGCCCGGCUUGUGUGUUGGGUCCUCGUCCUCCCCUCGCGGGGGGACGGGCCCGAAAGGCAGCGGCGGCACCGCGUCCGGUCCUCGAGCGUAUGGGGCUUUGUCACCCGCUCUGUAGGCCCGGCCGGCGCCAGCCGACGCAAAUCACCUUUUUUUCCAGGUUGACCUCGGAUCAGGUAGGGAUACCCGCUGAACUUAA
This 261-nucleotide unclassified non-coding RNA is filed under the name uncultured Eurotiales. RNAcentral's name for it is "sequence contains 5.8S rRNA gene, ITS2, 28S rRNA gene". The stretch from base 1 to 52 matches the Rfam family "5.8S ribosomal RNA", at positions 103 to 154 of the family's 154-position model. Lineage: Eukaryota; Fungi; Ascomycota; Eurotiomycetes; Eurotiales. The record is from RNAcentral.